This 1293-nucleotide ribosomal RNA is filed under the name Triticum aestivum (bread wheat). RNAcentral describes it as "partial small subunit ribosomal RNA". The record is from RNAcentral. Lineage: Eukaryota; Viridiplantae; Streptophyta; Magnoliopsida; Poales; Poaceae.
AUGGGCGCGUCGGGGAAGUGGAUCAAGACGCUGGUCGGGCUCAAGCCGGCGGCGGACAAGGAGAGGCACGCCGGGGGGAAGGGCCGGAAGUGGAGCCGCCUGUGGCGGAGCUCGUCGGGCGGGCAGAGGGCUGCCGCGUCGGCGGCCGCCUCGGAGGUCUCCGAGACGUCCUCCGCCGCCGCCGACGCGCUCAGCUCCGUCGUCGCGGCCGUGGUGCGCGCGCCGCCCAAGGACUUCCGCGUCAUCAGGCAGGAGUGGGCGGCCGUCCGCAUCCAGACCGCCUUCCGCGGCUUCCUGGCCAGGAGGGCGCUGAGGGCGCUCCGGGGGAUCGUGCGGCUGCAGGCGCUGGUGCGCGGCCGCCGUGUGCGCAAGCAGCUGGCCGUCACGGUCAAGUGCAUGCAAGCGCUCGUCAGGGUGCUAGCGCGGGCGAGGGACCGGCGCACGCGGCUCUCGGCUGACGGCCGAGACUCGCAGGAUACGCUCGACGACCACAGCAGCCACGCGGAUCCCGUCAAGGAAGCAGAGACAGGAUGGUGUGAUAGCCAAGGAACUGUGGAUGAUGUCAGAUCAAAGAUACACAUGAGACGCGAGGGCGCAAUCAAGAGAGAAAGAGCAAUUGCGUAUGCUCUUUCUCACCAGCGGAACUCAAACCACAAUGGAAGACCUAGCUCUCCUGCUGUUUCUCUCAAGAAUCAUGGGACUAACAGGAGCAAUCAGUGGAGCUAUUUGGACGGGUGGAUGGCAACAAAACCUUGGGAGAGUCGCCUUAUGGAGCAAUCACAUAGCGAACAGACCAACUCACGUUGUUCAGAGAGUAUUGACGAAAUGAACGAGGUCAGCUCAAAGCUUUCUGAAGCAAGCUCAGUCAAGAUCAGAAGAAACAAUGUCACAACUAGGGUGUCAGCAAAGCCUCCUUCGGUAAUCGCGGUAUGCGACGAGAGUGCUCCGUCAACAUCUUCAGUCACUCAGAUGACCGGCAACCAUUUCGCGACAUCGGAAAGGAGAUCUGACUGUGGCCAGGGUGGUGCACCGAGCUAUAUGGGCUUGACCAAAUCAGCCAAGGCAAGGCUGAGUGGUUCUUCUAGCACUCACAAGCCACCACUUCAAAGACAAGGUUCUGCUGAUACACACAAUUACAGCAGGGGGGCAUUCUCUUCAAUAGAUGUUCAAAGCACCGCUGGCUCCGAGGUUUCUGUUACCUCAAAGAGGUUGAACGGUUUAACUCUCAAGGGUCGAGGCACUAGAAGAAGCAUGGACAAGGAGAACGAUGAUCAAUCUAAUUCCUUCUUUUAG